This 732-nucleotide ribosomal RNA is filed under the name Amanita pallidorosea. Its description in RNAcentral is "eukaryotic LSU rRNA". It matches the Rfam family "Eukaryotic large subunit ribosomal RNA", at positions 80 to 791 of the family's 3401-position model. Lineage: Eukaryota; Fungi; Basidiomycota; Agaricomycetes; Agaricales; Amanitaceae. The record is from RNAcentral.
CUAGUAACUGCGAGUGAAGCGGGAAAAGCUCACAUUUAAAAUCUGGCAGAUUUUUGUCUGUCCGAGUUGUAACCUAGAGAAGUGUAACCUGUGCUGGACCGUGUACAAGUCUCCUGGAAUGGAGCAUCAUAGAGGGUGAGAAUCCCGUCUUUGACAUGGACUACCAGUGCACUGUGGUUGCGCACUCGACGAGUCGAGUUGUUUGGGAAUGCAGCUCUAAAUGGGUGGUAAAUUCCAUCUAAAGCUAAAUAUUGGCGAGAGACCGAUAGCGAACAAGUACCGUGAGGGAAAGAUGAAAAGAACUUUGGAAAGAGAGUUAAACAGUAUGUGAAAUUGUUGAAAGGGAAACGCUUGAAGUCAGCUGCAUUGGCUGGGGAUCAAGCCAGCUUAUUUGCUGGGUGUACUUCCUGGUUGAUGGGCCAACAUCAGUUUUGACCAUCAGAGAAAGGCCAAGGGAAUGUGGCACCUUUAUAGGUGUGUUAUAGCCCUUGGUUGUAUGUGGUGGUUGGGACUGAGGAUAGCAGCGUGCCGCAAGGCUCGGGUUUCGACCACGUUCACGCUUGGGAUGUUGGCAUAAUGGCUUUAAGCGACCCGUCUUGAAACACGGACCAAGGAGUCUAACAUGCAUGCAAGUGUUUGGGUGGAAAACUCAAGCGCGUAAUGAAAGUGAAAGUUGAGAUCCCUCUCACAGGGGAGCAUCGACGCCCGGACCAGAACUUUUGGGACGGAUCU